GAGUUUGAUCCUGGCUCAGAUUGAACGCUGGUGGCAUGCCUUACACAUGCAAGUCGAACGGCAGCACGGGAGCUUGCUCCUGGUGGCGAGUGGCGAACGGGUGAGUAAUGCAUCGGAACGUAUCCUGGAGUGGGGGAUAACGUAGCGAAAGUUACGCUAAUACCGCAUAUUCUGUGAGCAGGAAAGCGGGGGACCUUCGGGCCUCGCGCUCUUGGAGCGGCCGAUGUCGGAUUAGCUAGUUGGUGAGGUAAAGGCUCACCAAGGCGACGAUCCGUAGCAGGUCUGAGAGGAUGAUCUGCCACACUGGAACUGAGACACGGUCCAGACUCCUACGGGAGCAGCAGUGGGAAUUUGGACAAUGGGGCAACCUGAUCCAGCCAUGCCGCGUGAGUGAAGAAGGCCU
This 403-nucleotide ribosomal RNA is filed under the name bacterium enrichment culture clone ALO1_GLFRUDD03GSVFU. RNAcentral describes it as "bacterial SSU rRNA". It matches the Rfam family "Bacterial small subunit ribosomal RNA", at positions 9 to 417 of the family's 1533-position model. The record is from RNAcentral.